This 428-nucleotide ribosomal RNA is filed under the name uncultured Myxococcales bacterium. Its description in RNAcentral is "bacterial SSU rRNA". It matches the Rfam family "Bacterial small subunit ribosomal RNA", at positions 353 to 772 of the family's 1533-position model. The record is from RNAcentral. Lineage: Bacteria; Pseudomonadati; Myxococcota; Myxococcia; Myxococcales.
AGUGGGGAAUCUUGCGCAAUGGGCGAAAGCCUGACGCAGCGACGCCGCGUGGGUGACGAAGGCCUUCGGGUUGUAAAGCCCUGUGGGGUAGAACGAACUGGCAUCGGGCUAAUAUCCCGGUGUCUUGACGGUACUGCCUUAGCAAGCAUCGGCUAACUCUGUGCCAGCAGCCGCGGUAAGACAGAGGAUGCGAACGUUGCUCGGAUUUACUGGGCGUAAAGCGCGUGUAGGCGGUCUCGUUAGUCGGGUGUGAAAGCCCCGGGCUCAACCCGGGAAGUGCACCCGAUACUGCGAGACUGGGGUACUGAAGAGGAGAGCGGAAUUCCCGGUGUAGAGGUGAAAUUCGUAGAUAUCGGGAGGAACACCAGUGGCGAAGGCGGCUCUCUGGGCAGAUACCGACGCUGAGACGCGAAAGCGUGGGGAGCAAA